UGCGUAGGCGGCCAUGUAAGUCCGAUGUGAAAUCCCUCCGCUUAACGGAGGAAGUGCAUUGGAUACUGCGUGGCUCGAGUACGGGAGAGGGAGAUGGAAUUCCCGGUGUAGAGGUGAAAUUCGUAGAUAUCGGGAGGAACACCCGUGGCGAAGGCGGUCUCCUGGAACGAUACUGACGCUGAGGCGCGAAAGCGUGGGGAGCAAACAGGAUUAGACACCCUGGUAGUCCACGCUGUAAACGAUGGUCACUAGGUGUCCCUUGGUUUACAGGGGGUGCCGAAGCUAACGCAUUAAGUGACUCACCUGGGGAGUACGGCCGCAAGGCUAAA
RNAcentral lists this ribosomal RNA (329 nucleotides) under uncultured bacterium. Its description in RNAcentral is "bacterial SSU rRNA". It matches the Rfam family "Bacterial small subunit ribosomal RNA", at positions 568 to 898 of the family's 1533-position model. The record is from RNAcentral.